Oryctolagus cuniculus (rabbit) is the source of this 133-nucleotide small nuclear RNA. Its record names the gene U4. It matches the Rfam family "U4 spliceosomal RNA". From Rfam's summary of the family: U4 small nuclear RNA (U4 snRNA) is a component of the major U2-dependent spliceosome. The structure of U4 snRNA from yeast and human has been reported. The record is from Ensembl. Lineage: Eukaryota; Metazoa; Chordata; Mammalia; Lagomorpha; Leporidae.
AGCUUUGCGCAGUGGCAGUAUCGUAGCCAAUGAGGUUUAUCCGAGGCGCGAUUAUUGCUAAUUGAAAAUAAACCCUGCUUCCAUUUAUUCUCUUGAGAAAAUUAUCAAAUUAUGUAAGUUUUAAAUUACAAAA